RNAcentral lists this long non-coding RNA (1565 nucleotides) under Dermacentor andersoni. Its description in RNAcentral is "uncharacterized LOC126529147". The record is from RNAcentral. Lineage: Eukaryota; Metazoa; Arthropoda; Arachnida; Ixodida; Ixodidae.
AGCAGUCGUUCAACGUCGCAUUUGUCUGAAUUAGAAAGCACUGAUCAGUAAUUAUUACGUCACUGCAAAAGAAGUACACAUUGACGAAUCUUGGCUUUAUUAUCAGAUAAAACGUACGCGAAGCCCCACACGUUGGUGUCGUCACCGCUAAGAGCACACUUACCGUCACCGGCUUCUGAAGACACGUGGCAAUGUAUUCGGCCAUGUACUGCGCUGGCUUCUUUGGCGCCCGCCUAAUGUCAUGCACGCUGGAUGCAUCGUGAGAAAUGCGCAUUGUUCGUUGGUCUGCGGAACGAAAAAUCAAAGAGACAACUUGGAACGCAAAAGAGGUGCCCUUAGUUAGAGACAGAUAGAUGUUCGAUCAAAGUAGGCGCUGAGAAUCUCAAACAUUUCUUUUAAGCAGUCGUUCAACGUCGCAUUUGUCUGAAUUAGAAAGCACUGAUCAGUAAUUAUUACGUCACUGCAAAAGAAGUACACAUUGACGAAUCUUGGCUUUAUUAUCAGAUAAAACGUACGCGAAGCCCCACACGUUGGUGUCGUCACCGCUAAGAGCACACUUACCGUCACCGGCUUCUGAAGACACGUGGCAAUGUAUUCGGCCAUGUACUGCGCUGGCUUCUUUGGCGCCCGCCUAAUGUCAUGCACGCUGGAUGCAUCGUGAGAAAUGCGCAUUGUUCGUUGGUCUGCGGAACGAAAAAUCAAAGAGACAACUUGGAACGCAAAAGAGGUGCCCUUAGUUAGAGACAGAUAGAUGUUCGAUCAAAGUAGGCGCUGAGAAUCUCAAACAUUUCUUUUAAGCAGUCGUUCAACGUCGCAUUUGUCUGAAUUAGAAAGCACUGAUCAGUAAUUAUUACGUCACUGCAAAAGAAGUACACAUUGACGAAUCUUGGCUUUAUUAUCAGAUAAAACGUACGCGAAGCCCCACACGUUGGUGUCGUCACCGCUAAGAGCACACUUACCGUCACCGGCUUCUGAAGACACGUGGCAAUGUAUUCGGCCAUGUACUGCGCUGGCUUCUUUGGCGCCCGCCUAAUGUCAUGCACGCUGGAUGCAUCGUGAGAAAUGCGCAUUGUUCGUUGGUCUGCGGAACGAAAAAUCAAAGAGACAACUUGGAACGCAAAAGAGGUGCCCUUAGUUAGAGACAGAUAGAUGUUCGAUCAAAGUAGGCGCUGAGAAUCUCAAACAUUUCUUUUAAGCAGUCGUUCAACGUCGCAUUUGUCUGAAUUAGAAAGCACUGAUCAGUAAUUAUUACGUCACUGCAAAAGAAGUACACAUUGACGAAUCUUGGCUUUAUUAUCAGAUAAAACGUACGCGAAGCCCCACACGUUGGUGUCGUCACCGCUAAGAGCACACUUACCGUCACCGGCUUCUGAAGACACGUGGCAAUGUAUUCGGCCAUGUACUGCGCUGGCUUCUUUGGCGCCCGCCUAAUGUCAUGCACGCUGGAUGCAUCGUGAGAAAUGCGCAUUGUUCGUUGGUCUGCGGAACGAAAAAUCAAAGAGACAACUUGGAACGCAAAAGAGGUGCCCUUAGUUAGAGACAGAUAGAUGUUCGAUCAAAGUAGG